UACCGUAGGCUUCAACGCCCUCUAAAUACACCCUUGCAAAUUCUACAAAGAGAGUGUUUCAUAACUGCUCUAUAGGAAGAAAGGUUCAACUCUGUGAGUUGAAUGCAGAGAUCACAACGUGGUUUCUGCGAAUGAUUCUUUGUAGUUUUUACAUGAAGAUAUUUCGUUGUCUACCAUAGGCUUCAAAGCACUCAAAGUAUUCACUUGGAAAUUUUACAAAAACAGUGUUAGAAAACUGCUCUUUCCAAAGUAAGGUUCAAC
This 261-nucleotide long non-coding RNA is filed under the name Homo sapiens (human). RNAcentral's name for it is "HSALNT0312917". Lineage: Eukaryota; Metazoa; Chordata; Mammalia; Primates; Hominidae. The record is from RNAcentral.